UUUGCUCCCAAUGACAAGGAUUAACAAUCAUUCAUUUCAAACAAAAUUCAAAACAUUGUCUCGAGUACUCGGCAGAUUACAAGGCUACACAAGCCUGAGGCUCCUCCAAAGAUACAAGCUCAAACAUCUUCAAAGCAAUUGGCUCAGCCUCCUCGAGGUAUUGCGCAUAAGCAUCCUCCAUGCAGUUCUGAGCAACGUCGUCACCAGCUACCAUUAAAU
This 219-nucleotide long non-coding RNA is filed under the name Setaria italica (foxtail millet). Its description in RNAcentral is "long non-coding RNA (SITA_LNC002288)". The record is from RNAcentral. Lineage: Eukaryota; Viridiplantae; Streptophyta; Magnoliopsida; Poales; Poaceae.